CAUCAUUAUACAUCAGCUGACUUUGACAGCUGGGCACUCUGGCGGUAUUGCGCAACACUAGCAAGAAAGCAUGGUCUCAAAUGUGUUAAUAGCCGUUUGUGUUCUUGUCAACUUGGCAAGAACCUUCUCCCAAGAACAAGUCGCAAGUAUAUUCUCCCAAGGCCACAAGAAUGUUCUUCGCGUUCUUGUGUAUUGAGAUUCGACCAAAAUCUGAAGCUCCGGGUCAUGGUUUACAACCGAGGUCAGGAAACAGUUUACCUGUCACUCUUAGUAAAACAUACUCAGCACACACAGGAGACAAAUACUGCUGUCCUCAGAGCAGGCACACUCAGAUUCGUGAAAUACACUGAAAUAAUCAAACUAACCAGCUCACUUCAGAGAGGUAAUCUUAUAAACAUCAUGAUACAUCCCCUCAAAAGAAAGGACAGGUCUGGUGAUAGGAUGGUAAGAUGCAAAAUUAUUUAAAGAAAUUUUCAAUGAUGUAAAAAGAAGAAAAUAAGAGCAGAGCACCAAUGCAAACCCCUCACACACCCCACAUUCUGGCAGAGCUGACACAGAUUGUAUGGAGCUGCUGUCCUGCUGGUUACAGGAUAAACAGCUGAUGAUUCAGGGGGGCAUGGGGGGCCAUAGCCCUCCCUUUUCAGAUGGAGUUGUUAGCACAGACCCUGUCGGGGCCUGAGACCUGAUCUGAGCUCCUGCUGCAGAGGUGUUUUAAUAAUCAGGAUCAUUUUUGGGAUCAGACGUCAGACAGACACUCAGAUUCUCUCUGAAACAACCACACACUGUUUCACAGAGCCCAGAAAAAUCAGAUUUUUAAGCAGACCACACACACUCACACACAAAUACACACACACACACACACACACACACACACACACACACACACACACACACACACACACACACACACACACCUAACAAUACAAAACAACACUGAGCUCUGACAUCUAAACAAGGCAAUACAAACACACUAAAUCCAACAGGUCACCUUACAGUGCAAAAAAUCAUCCAUCUGGGUUCAACUCACAUGAGCUUUAUGAGGUAAAUGUUUCAUAUCAGGACCUCCUGACAUAAAGCCCCCCUUACAUAAAGACCUUCUAACAUAAAAACCUCUAUAAAUCUCACAGUGUUAUAGACCCUGAAGAUUCAAAGUUUUCAAAGGAUCUUUUCAUACAUAUUUCAGGAUGUGGCUGAAUCUCACCACAUAACAGGGAGUUCAUUAUUGUGUGUGUGUGUGUGUGUGUGUGUGUGUGUGUGUGUGUGUGUGUGUGUGUGUGUGUGUGUGUGUGUGUGUUAACAGAGGGUCAGGAGUGUGUGUGAGAGUUUCAGCGAUUCAGACGUUCACCAGGUGCACUCAGGUGGCUAUAUUGUCUGAUGAAGGUAAAAACAGGAAAAUCCUGCAUCAUCUGGCACCUCUUAAACUUUAUUAUCUGAAUUCCACCAUCUGCCACUGCACAUGCUGAGGAAUCCUUGAUCUGAAGCUAGAUUUCUUUAGGGACAAGGACGAAGGGACGUCGAGAACAAUGGAAUAGAUAAUAAGGAGACACUAAGGAGGCAAGGAUGAGAAGAUAAUGACAAGGAGACACUCACAGACCAAACACUGUUUUUAUCCGUUAAUGUAUUGAUGGAUGAGGCUUUUGAAUGAUGUGGUAAUUUACAUGGGAUAUUCAUUAUGUUAGGGUUAGGGUCUAUUUAUAUAUUCACAUAUUUAGAAAUUCCUCUCACCUCUGCACUUACUGUGAUUUUUUGUGAA
Xyrichtys novacula (pearly razorfish) is the source of this 1753-nucleotide non-coding RNA. The record is from the annotation of a GenBank genome assembly. Lineage: Eukaryota; Metazoa; Chordata; Actinopteri; Labriformes; Labridae.